This 500-nucleotide ribosomal RNA is filed under the name Roseateles sp. Its description in RNAcentral is "bacterial SSU rRNA". It matches the Rfam family "Bacterial small subunit ribosomal RNA", at positions 835 to 1334 of the family's 1533-position model. Lineage: Bacteria; Pseudomonadati; Pseudomonadota; Betaproteobacteria; Burkholderiales; Sphaerotilaceae. The record is from RNAcentral.
UUCUUCUCAGUAAGUAGCUAACGCGGAAGUUCCCGCCUGGGGAGUACGGCCGCAAGGUUGAAACUCAAAGGAAUUGACGGGGACCCCACAAGCGGUGGAUGAUGUGGUUUAAUUCGAUGCAACGCGAAAAACCUUACCUACCCUACAUGUCUGGAAUCCUGAAGAGAUUUGGGAGUGCUCGAAAGAGAGCCAGAACACAGCUGCUGCAUGGCCGUCGUCAGCUCGUGUCGUGAGAUGUUGGUUAAGUCCCGCAACGAGCGCAACCCUUGUCAUUAGUUGCUACGAAAGGGCACUCUAAUGAGACUGCCGGUGACAAACCGGAGGAAGGUGGGGAUGACGUCAGGUCAUCAUGGCCCUUAUGGGUAGGGCUACACACGUCAUACAAUGGCCGGGACAGAGGGGGGAACAACCCGCGAGGGGGAGCUAAUCCCAGAAACCCGGUCGUAGUCUUAUCGUAGUGGAGAACUCGAGUGCGGAUUUUUCUCCCCCAAUGAGAGUUG